RNAcentral lists this non-coding RNA (29 nucleotides) under Mus musculus (house mouse). The record is from RNAcentral. Lineage: Eukaryota; Metazoa; Chordata; Mammalia; Rodentia; Muridae.
UGAUUGAGAGGUAGUCAGUGAUAAGACUC